Molecule: transfer RNA, 63 nt
Filed under: Navicula sp. RCC3092
Lineage: Eukaryota; Bacillariophyta; Bacillariophyceae; Naviculales; Naviculaceae
Source: RNAcentral
UGGGAGGGCUUCAGCCGGAAAUUGACAGCAUUAUCAGACGCGUGCUCGAUGGAAGAGCUGUGG